Molecule: ribosomal RNA, 45 nt
Filed under: Morus notabilis
Lineage: Eukaryota; Viridiplantae; Streptophyta; Magnoliopsida; Rosales; Moraceae
Description: partial 28S ribosomal RNA
Source: RNAcentral
CCCCAGGUCAGGCGGGGCUACCCGCUGAGUUUAAGCAUAUCAAAA